RNAcentral lists this long non-coding RNA (310 nucleotides) under Androctonus crassicauda. The record is from RNAcentral. Lineage: Eukaryota; Metazoa; Arthropoda; Arachnida; Scorpiones; Buthidae.
UUCAGUUUAUGUUUUGUUUUGGAUGGUUUCAAAGAAGCAUGGCGAUUCUGUUGAGUGAUGUGAAAUCUACAUUAGACAUCAGUAGUUUUUUCAAUAGAUCAGAUCAUGACGUAUUUCUGUCACUUCAAGAUCACGGAUUAUUGCGGCGAAGGAUGUACUGUACAAAAUCAACUUGUCGUAGACGAAUGAUUUUAACAGCAAGAAAAGACUGUAAGGGAGGUUUUGCAUUUCGUUGCCCUCGAUGCCGCUCCUUAAAGUCAGCCGUCUCAAAGACAUUUUUUUGACAAUACAGCAUUCAGAUCGGAAGAGC